Molecule: long non-coding RNA, 1671 nt
Organism: Oncorhynchus tshawytscha (Chinook salmon)
Lineage: Eukaryota; Metazoa; Chordata; Actinopteri; Salmoniformes; Salmonidae
Source: Ensembl
CCCAUCCCUCUCUCUCUGGCCCCAUCCCUCUCCGUCUCCCUCCCUCUCUCUCCAUCUCCCUCCCUCUCUCUCCGUCUCCCUCCCUCUCUCUCUGGCCCCAUCCCUCUCUCUCCGUCUCCCUCCCUCUCUCUCUGGCCCCAUCCCUCUCUCUCCGUCUCCCUCCCUCUCUCUCUGGCCCCAUCCCUCUCUCUCCGUCUCCCUCCCUCUCUCUCUGGCCCCAUCCCUCUCUCUCCGGCUCCAUCCCUCUGUCUCCCUCUCUCUGGCCCCAUCCCUCUCUCUCUGUCUCCCUCCCUCUCUCUCUGGCCCCAUCCCUCUCUCUCCGUCUCCCUCCCUCUCUCUCUGGCCCCAUCCCUCUCUCUCCGGCUCCCUCCCUCCCUCUCUGGCCCCAUCCCUCUCUCUCCGUCUCCCUCCCUCUCUCUCUGGCCCCAUCCCUCUCUCUCCGUCUCCCUCCCUCUCUCUGGCCCCAUCCCUCUCUCUCAGUCUCCCUCCCUCUCUCUCUGGCCCCAUCCUAACUAACCAUAGCGGCAUGUGUACAUAGCCAAUCAUCUUUUAUAGCCGAAUGGCUCCAGUAAAACCAAUAUGGAUAUUGUAGAAAAGGGCAGGUUGAUGCUGAUACUUAAGCAUUGCUGGCACACAUCCAGGAUGUGUAAAAUGGGCCAUUCUGCUAGAAUGCUUUUUCUACGAGGACAUAACCACCUGGCCUGCAUGACACACAUACUGUAUAUCUCUGCCCGCUCUAGACCCAAUUAGUGCUUUUUGAUAGAUUUGUUAAAGCUUUGCAUGUAAAUAUGUUAUUUGGUAUUAAGGGGGUUGCUUUACACUGCAGUGACCAGGUUGUACAGUAUUGGAAAAAUAUACUUUAUCAGUGACCCACCUGAAUGAAUAUGGUUCUAUUAGUUAAAGUAUACUGUGUAGAGCAGACACGGGUCAAAUAUAUUAUGUCAGAUGCCUUUAAAAGGAUGUUUUUGAGCUGUGCUGAACACAUGAAACCAAUGGAAUAGUCCCAAAAGUGCAAACUCCAAGUUAAUUCAAGUGUGCCUUGGAGUAGGUCUAGGGAAUAGGGAGAGAUCCGUAUUGGACCCAGGUCUGUGUGUCGAGGGAAAGUCCGGAUGCGUCCUAAACACGUGCCACUGACUGGUUGAAGUGUGUUGGUGCAGUCUGAAUCUGAGGCUGUAGAGGGGCCCACUGCCCGGCAAUCAGCGGCAGCUACCAAAGCUCCCAACCAGAGACUCAUGUCGUCAUAAACGGAUGGAUCCCAUGACAACCACAGUACAUACAGUAAUGUAUAAUAAUGUAGGUUACAUGGUGGUGUCAGGCACCCCCUGGAGGAGGAGAAUAUUUAGUCAUGUUGGGAUAUGGGAUUCCAUUCCUCUGUAGGGCCGUCUACAUCUCACACACAGUCAACUCCACACAGGACUACUCGGACUCACACAGGCCUCUGACAUGACACCAAACUCCCAUCAUUAUAGCGAUGUGCUACGUAUAUCGUCUUGUAUCCUCGGGGUUAGAGAGUUGGGCCAGUAAACGAAAGUUUUGAAUGAAAAAUCUAUCGGAUGUUGCCCUUGAGCAAGGCACUUAACCCUAUUUGCUCCAGGGGUGCUGUACUACUAUGACUGUCCCUGUUAAACAACGCAAAUGUAUUUUAUAUAUAUAUAUAUCUUUAUAUUAUCC